GAGUCUCAUAAUGUCAUCUGUGCUUCACCAGUGCUGAGCUAUGAAAUUUCUAGAUAAGCUUGCUAUUAUCUGAUAGCAAUGGGCCCUCUGCAACUGCUGAACUGCACUAGGAGGAACAAAAUAUUCCUGACAUAUUUAUUUUCCUUCUGAGCAACAGCUGAAGUAUUGAUAAAGCAGAAAAGCAGGAUAUAAAGUCAGAACUGGAAGGCACAGACUCUGCAACCUAAAGUACAGCAAAAAUGUGGGUCACACUCUGAAAACAUUUGCAAACACUUGACUCAAAGCACUUAGAGAGCAGCAAUAUGCUCACAGACAUGUUUUAUAAGGGCAAACACAUAUACAGUAGUUUAGGGAAAAAAAAAAGAACUGAGAUUACAAACAGGGGCAAAGCAGCUAAAGAUGUGUAAUAACAGCAAAUUAUUCUGCACAAUUUCAGACAGCUCUCCUCAGUACACAGGUUUUGCAAUAGCAUUAGCUACACUGAAAAUAUUUCUUUUACAGAAAAUGUAUGCUUUAAGAUCAUUAUUGUAUAGAGAACCACUUGAGACUUAGGAAACACUAGCUUGAAUUUAAUGUGUAUAAACUUGAUUUGGUCCAUUGUAUUGUACUACAUGGGUGCUGCUUUUCCCCAAAUAACAUCUGCCUGACUCAGAAGAAGGAAUGGAUGUUCUAAAUACUACAAAAUUUAAUUUUUGCUGUUUAGUCUGAGGCUACUUUUUCUUUACUUUUUGCUCAGGUGCUGCUCAAAAUGAGCAAUGAAAACGAAUUUAUAAAAAUAUCAUGGCAGGAGUCAUGACAUUUGACAUGGAAUUAUCUGUGUGUCUAAUAAUGUUCCUCAGCUUAUUUUCAUACUAAUGAAAUAGCACUAUUAUUUGCAUUGGAGAACUGCAUGGAAACAUAUUUGCCUAAAAACUCUCUUUCAUCUCUGAAGCAGACCAUGUUCCAUAUGGAUGCUCUCUUUACUGAGUAUGUUUGUUAAAAUAUUAAGAAUCUGAAAAUUCAAUGAUUCAUUAAAAAGCAAUAAAAUACUAUCAGACAGGAGCAGAUGCUUGUCCUGUUGUCAAACAUGGAAUCUGAAUUCCAAAACUCAGAAGUGUUACAGCUAUUUCAGAAAAAGAACAAUACCAGUCUUAUUCUUGGGAACUUAAGAGCCAUUUUACCUGAAAAAUAUGAAAAGUAAAUAAACUUGGCAAACUAUUCAUGAAAAUAUUCAUCCAGUGAUGAAUAUUUCAUAUUGCACAAAAAAGGGGGCAAAUUUACAAGCAAGAAGAAGAUGGUUGUAUGCACAGGAUCAAUCCACUUCUAAAAUUUUCACCUGUGGUGGGUUGACCCCAGCUAGAUGCCAGGUGCCUACCAAAGCUGUGCUAUCACUUCCCUCCUCAGCUUGACAGGGAAGAGAAAAUAUAAUGUCAGGCUCAUGGGUUGAGAUAAGGGCAGGAGAGAUCACUCACCAAUUACCAUAUUGGGCAAAACAAAUUCAGCUUGGGGAAAUUUGAUUUCUUAGCAAUCAAAUCAGAGAGGAGUAAUGAGAGAAAAUAAUCUUAAACCUUAAAACAUCUUCUCCUCUACCCCUUCCUUCUUCCUGGGCUCAACUUCACUCCUGGUGUCUCUGUCACCUCUAGAAGAGCACAGGGAGACAGGGGAUGGAGGUAGAGAAGUGGCCUGUGGUCAGUUCAUCUCACACACAUCAUUUCUGCUGCUCCUUCCUCCCCAAGGAGAAAUCCUUCACACUCUUCCUGCUCCAGGGUGGGAUCCCUGCCAUGGGACACAGUCCUUCUCUACAUUGUCCAAUGUGGGUCCAUUCCAUGGGGUGCAGUCCUUCAGGAACAGGCUACUCCAGCAUAAGCCCUCCAUGGGAUCACAAGUCCUGCCAGCAAGCCUGCUCCAGCAUGGGCUCCUCUCUCUGUGGGUCCAGAGGCUCCUACAGGGUUCCAGCCUCCUCUGAGCAUCCACCUGCUCCAGUGCAGGUCUCCUCCAUGGGCUGCAGGAGCAGACCUGCCUCACCAUGGGCUGCACCCCAGGCUGCAGAGGAACCAGCUCUGGUGCCUGGAGCACCUCCUUGCUCUCCUUCUGCACUGACCUUGCUGUCUGCAGGGCUGUUGCUCUCACUUAUUUUCACUCUCCUCUCCAGCUGCAAUUGCUCUUGCACAGAAACCCUUUUUCUGUUAUUAAAUACAUUCUCCCAGAGACUCUACCAUCAUUCCUGCUGAGCUCAGUCUUGGCCAGGAGCAGGUCUAUCUUGGAGCUGGCUGGCAUUGGCUCUACUGGACACGGGAGAAGCUUCUGGAAGCUUCACAGAAGCCACCCUGGUAGCAUCACCCCCCACCCCCCAAACCUUCCCACACAAAUCCUACCCAGCAGAGCUUUACUUGCUAAGAUUUUAACCAUUUUCCCUUUGGCAUCACAUCAAGUAGACACAAUAGUUUAGUAAUUAGACAUGCAAGUUUAAGUCCCCUCAGUUUAGACCAUCAUUGGCCUUCAGCUCCCAGUGAAAAAGACAGGAAUACAUCCAAGGCACUGACAUGCUUCCACUUGUCUGGGCUGGCAGUCAGAGGGUACCUAGGGCAGUUAGAGAUGCUCUCUGCUAACAGCAGAUUUUAGAAAAUACAUUUCUAAAAUAAUUCAUACUACAUCAAGAAGAACUUUUUUCCUUUAAAGAGAAUAUGAAUCAUUUAAUGCCCCCUGAAAUCCAUUACUUUCAUGCACUGUAGCAAAAUAAAUAUUUUACAAACAAUGAACUUCCAGAUCUCUGCCUCUGAAUUCUUAUUCAUCUUCAGUUACAAAUUGUUUAAGCCUGGUUUGCCAUCUUAGGGAGCAAGAAAAGCCAGAAAGUUUCUGCACAAAUUAUCUUUUCACAGUGUGCUUGCUAUUUACACUCACUUAAAUAUGUAAAUCUAAUUAUUUGACUCAAAGAUUUCUGCAUAUGCAUUUUAAGAAUGCAGUGUACAUAAGUCUGUUCAUAAUGCUGAGGCCAAAUCCUGCAGUCUCACAGAAGAACCCACAACCAAAUAAACUGACAUGUGGAACAACUAAUUCAGAGAAUGAGAUCUGUUUAAUUAGUCCACUAAAACAAUGUAGGCAGUUGUGAAAUCUGUGUUUUCAGAAGCCUUUUUCUUUAAUCUAUGCUGAAUCUUUUUUUCAAAUCUUUUCCAUGAAGUAUCAGCAGAUCUUUAAGAUCAAGUAUUGUUAGCAAAUGUUCUCCUGAUAUCACUCAUCUGUUAGGUGUUAGUGUUGAUCUUUUUAACAUUCAUAAAACACUUUUCUCUAUUGUAGAAGCAACUGUGUAGAAACAGCUUUGUUUAGAUCUGCCAAGACCCUCUGUCCUGCAAAAUGUUGAGUAUUAAUCUCCAGUAAAAACAAACUCCAAAGGAUUUUUAAUAUUUUUAAUUAGUGUGUGCUUUUUCAUCUCAUUAGAAGUAUAAUCAGUGGAUCAUUUGUAAUGUAAACAUUACUAUUUCUGUAUAUUGAGAACAAACACAAAAUUUUACUUUAGAAUAUUAAUUAAUUUUGAUGUUGAACGUAUCAGAAAAGCUGCCAAUUUGCAUGUUAGUCACUUGCAGUCUUUAGACCUUAGAGGGACUCUACUUAGACAUAAACAGUUAAACACUGAAAGCUAAAAUAGCCAUAAAAAGGACAAAAGAGGAGGAAGCACAUUUUCUACAUCUGAGGCAAAGCAAACAAUUGCAGUAGUAAUUAUAGCCCCUUUCUUUAAAGGAGACUUUAGGCCAAUUGUCCUGAGGCCACUGAAGGAAGAACAAGAUUUAGUUACAGUGGCCAUUUGAUACUGCAAUUUAUUGCUUGCAGUAUUUUCCUUGAAACAAGAUAUUUAAGAGAGCCAGUUGCUUGGUGUUAAAAGCUUAAUUUUCAAAGCAAAUUUGAAGAAUGAUUCCAGAUUUUGACAUGACCAGUCUUCUUAUUACUGCUCACAUAUUUUCCUUGGGCUAUGAAAACAAUUCCAGGUUCUUUUUUUCAUUUUGACCAUAGCAAAUGAAUAAUGUGGCCAUGCAAGUAAUACAGUCAGAAAAUCAAGGUCUGCAAGGCAAUUCUGCUCUUAGGUUCUUUACUGAUGCCUAGUAUUAAUAAUGCUUUAUUAUUAAAUUACUUGCUUAAAUAUGCCUAUUUUUAAAUUUUUUAUAUGCUUUGGAGAAUAUUAUAAUCAGAAUAUAUUUCUGUUAAUAAUUCUUCAUAUAAUAACUUAUAAUGACUCAGAAGUAAUUUUAAGGAAAAAAAAAUUCCAUUUAUGUAAUGAAUAGACAAAAGAAGCCCAAGUCAGGGCUAUCUGUAGGUAUAUGCACAAACUCACCCACUUUUUUAAGACUCAGUGUGUAGAGAUGAAACCAAGAUCAUCAUUGGGAACCUGAGUUGCUAAAAUUAUGUAUUUAAAACUUUAUGGCUGAGAUUUUCCAAACAUCCUGUACUGAUUUGACUCAAACAUAUGGAAAUAAAUGGCCACAGUGAAGUGAUCUGAUGUGGGCAAGUCUAACCUGCUGCCUGGCCUCCAGUUAGGGAGAGCUGACAGAGCUUUGAGCCUCUGGAGGAGCAGCUUGGCACUGCACACGAUGGAAUUUUUCAAGUACUUGUGUGACAGAGGAUUAUAACUAGGCAAAUACAGCUCCCUUCUCUAAAUAUCCAAUAUAUAGCAGUCAGUCCUACUCACAGGAGCUGACAAAACAAGGAUUUGCCAAUACAACUCAGAAGCAGAGGAAAUAUGACAGUCAGUAAAUAUUGAAUGAGCUAUGUAUGUUCUUUCCCUACAGCUGGAAGGGGCUUUGCCAGGAAAUGAUUAGGAAAGUAAAACAGUGAAGAUAAUAUAAGAAAGCACAUAAUCAGAAGAUCAAACCAAAUGAAAGUGAAAUAAGGAAACAAAGAGAGAAAAAGAGGAAAGGAAAAUAGCAAUAAAGUUCAUAUUAGACUAAAAAGGAGCAUUGAGAGAGGACAGAUCAACACACAGCUGCAGAUCACAUAGGCUGGAGUAGAAAAUGGUGGGAAUGGUAGAACAGGAACAUCUCUGAAGUCUAAAAGCUUUGCAUGCAACUAGUUUGACAGGCUCCUGCCAAGCCAAUCUCUAUUUGAGCCUGUUUCAUCUCAGUGACACUCUUCUUCCAUAAACCCACAUCACACAGAGGAUGCAAAGCAUCCUGCUCCCUCUGCUCCUCCUGUGUUAUCUCUGCUCCAACUGGUCCCAUGCUGCUUCCUGCCAGCUCCCCAAACACCCAAUAACCUGAGCCAGUGUCAGGGAAUUUGUGUGCUCGAGCACUGUUUUCUUGUUCCCCUCAUCUGCCUCUGUUCUCUGCCCACAGCUGGGGGAAAAAGAAAAAUACCAGCACAUGCAGAUGCUUAAGGAACAGAUGGGGAAUAAGAGAACUGAUGAAUGUAAUGCCAGCUCUCGAACAUCUCACUAUUAAAAUAUAUAAAAUUAUUUUACUUAGUUUUUCUUAUCUGUACACUGGAAUUAACAUUUCCAAUUUAUUUAUGCACAGUCUUUUAAAACAUGAUGAUGAAAAUUCCUUUAGCAUUGCGAAAUAUUAGUACAAUUAAUGUCAUGGCAUGUUUGAGAAUAAAGGUAUUAUUGAAGUGGUUAUGAGAAUUUGUCAAGUUCUUGUCUCACUCCGACUUCUCAAAUACCAGAAUGAAGAAAGCCCUAAAAAUAGAGGGAAAAGUGGCUGCUGUCCAUUUGAAUGAUAUGAAAAGCUCCAUAUUAGUAAUCUCAGCUCAGUUUCUGAUAGCUAGUUCCUCAGAAUGUACAGCUGCUCUUGAUUUUCCUUGUUCAUUACUAAUAGCAAGUGUCUUGAAUGUAUCAGAAGAUAUUAAAUACAUUAAAAUCUCCUUUUCCCAAUCAAAAGUAAUUAGCAUAUUUUUUUACAUCCUAACCAGGUAUUUCCCUUAUUACUAGUUAUUCUCUUUGGCAUACACAUUGGCUGGGGAGAAGAAGUUCAUAUUUUCCACUGUCUGACAAGACAAUUUAUUCCACAAGGACUAUAAGCUAAGUCAUUUCACAUAUGUGUUUAAAAAAAUCAUUAGAAAUCAAUAUGAAAAAUCAUCAUGUAGCUGGCCACAAGAAAUUCCAAGGUAACUAUUUUUUGUAGAAUCACUGCUAUCUGAAUUGAGGAAAUUAGAAUACACUGCUGACGUUAACACCACCAAAUUUAAAAAAAAA
Molecule: long non-coding RNA, 6157 nt
Filed under: Taeniopygia guttata (zebra finch)
Lineage: Eukaryota; Metazoa; Chordata; Aves; Passeriformes; Estrildidae
Description: lncRNA (ENSTGUG00000019701.1)
Source: RNAcentral